Molecule: unclassified non-coding RNA, 348 nt
Filed under: Rhagoletis pomonella (apple maggot)
Lineage: Eukaryota; Metazoa; Arthropoda; Insecta; Diptera; Tephritidae
Description: mucin-17-like, transcript variant X1
Source: RNAcentral
GACGCUUGCCUGCAUCGAUUUGCAACCCUUUGCCUUGAGCACACAGCACGGAUUAAUGCCCUGUAAACGGAUAAAGAGAAGAUGCCCGAAGUGUAAGUGGUUCUAUUCUGCGGUUUCCGUGGUUUCAACAUGAAUUUACAUUUCGCGCAGGCUUUGGCGAUUGAUCAUCCCUUAUGCAGUGUCUGCUUAGCUAGUAGAUAUGGAAGUGCUUUGCUAUUGCUGCCAGCGUAAAACACCAGAUCGGUGCCUCCCGCAAUCUUUCCACCGCUUUAUUGUACGAAUUCCUUGCAAAUUAAUUAUUAAAAUUUUUGUUGUGCACUUCGGGCGGUAUGUGGCAGACGAAUUCAA